Molecule: ribosomal RNA, 239 nt
Filed under: uncultured bacterium
Lineage: Bacteria
Description: partial 16S ribosomal RNA
Rfam family: Bacterial small subunit ribosomal RNA
Source: RNAcentral
AUAUAGAGCAAAACCCUAAAAACGGUCUCAGUUCGGAUUGAAGGCUGAAAUUCGCCUUCAUGAAGCUGGAAUUGCUAGUAAUGGCAGGUCAGCAUACUGCCGUGAAUACGUUCCCGGGCCUUGUACACACCGCCCGUCACACCAUGAGAGUUGGGAAUACCCGAAGCCUGUGAGCUAACUUAUAGAGGCAGCAGUCGAAGGUAGAAUCAAUGAUUGGGGUGAAGUCGUAACAAGGUACC